Long non-coding RNA from Prionailurus viverrinus (fishing cat), 156 nucleotides. RefSeq lists it as uncharacterized. Lineage: Eukaryota; Metazoa; Chordata; Mammalia; Carnivora; Felidae. The transcript has 2 exons. The record is from RefSeq and is a predicted model, not a curated record.
GCCAAGAUAUUGGAACACCAUGGAAGUUUUUUGUCGUCUCGUGUCCCUGAAAUACAGCCAGAUCAACACUAAACCAUCCUGCACACCUGGAAACCUGAUUUGAGGAUUAACACAAUGAUCUGCACAACCUAAACCAGAGAACUCAGCAAGUAGAUG